Molecule: ribosomal RNA, 499 nt
Filed under: uncultured bacterium
Lineage: Bacteria
Description: bacterial SSU rRNA
Rfam family: Bacterial small subunit ribosomal RNA
Source: RNAcentral
GCCUAAUACAUGCAAGUCGAACGGUCUUUCUAUGGAAGCUUGCUUCCACUGAGAAGAUAGUGGCGAACGGGUGAGUAACACGUGGGGUAACCUGCCCAUAAGAGGGGGAUAACAUCCGGAAACGGGUGCUAAUACCGCAUAGUUUUCUGAUCGCAUGAUUGAGAAAGGAAAGACGGCCUUUGUGCUGUCGCUUAUGGAUGGACCCGCGGCGUAUUAGUUAGUUGGUGAGGUAACGGCUCACCAAGACGAUGAUACGUAGCCGACCUGAGAGGGUGAUCGGCCACAUUGGGACUGAGACACGGCCCAAACUCCUACGGGAGGCAGCAGUAGGGAAUCUUCCGCAAUGGACGAAAGUCUGACGGAGCAACGCCGCGUGAGUGAAGAAAGGUUUUCGGAUCGUAAAACUCUGUUGUCAGAGAAGAACAAGUUGGAGAGUAACUGCUCCAGCCUUGACGGCAUCUGACCAGAAAGCCACGGCUAACUACGUGCCAGCCGCCGC